CCAAUGGUGCUGUGUUUGGAAUGAGUAUAAUUUAAAAACCUUAACGAGGAACCAUUGGAGGGCAAGUCUGGUGCCAGCAGCCGCGGUAAUUCCAGCUCCAAUAGUGUAUACUAAAGUUGCUGCAGUUAAAAAGCUCGUAGUUGGAUUUCGGUUAAUGAAAAGUCAGUCCACUUAAUAUAUAAGUGCGUACUGACGUUUUAUUUCCUUCUUUUCAGAUAUACAACUUGUUGUGUUCUGAAUCUUUUACUUUGAGAAAAUUAGAGUGUUCAAAGCAGGCGUAACCAAGCCUUUGAAUAUAUUAGCAUGGGAUAAUGGAAUAAGACUUUUUGCCUUAUUUUCGUUGGUUCUUGAGGCUAAAGUAAUGAUUAAUAGGGAUAGUUGGGGUCAUUAGUAUUUAAUUGUCAGAGGUGAAAUUCUAAGAUAUAUUAAAGACUAACUACUGCGAAAGCAUUUGACAAGGAUGUUUUCAUUAAUCAAGAACGAAAGUUGGGGGAUCGAAGAUGAUCAGAUACCGUCGUAGUCUCAACCAUAAACUAUGCCGACCAAGGAUUCGGGGGUGUUAUAUGAAUGACCCUCCGGGCACUUAUAGAGAAAUCAUAAGUAUUUGGGUUCCGGGGGGAGUAUGGUCGCAAGGCUGAAACUUAAAGGAAUUGACGGAAGGGCACCACCAGGAGUGGAAUAUGCGGUUUAAUUUGACCCAACACGGGAAAACUUACCAGGUCCAGACACAGUGAGGAUUGACAGAUUGAGAGCUCUUUCUUGAUUUUGUGGGUGGUGGUGCAUGGCCGUUUCUAGUUGGUGGAGUGAUUUGUCUGGUUAAUUCCGUUAACGAACGAGACCUUAACCUAUUAAAUAGUUACACAUACUUGGGAUUCGUCCUAAUAGUAUGUGGUUAACUUCUUAGAGGGACUCUUCACGUAAAGAGUGAAUGGAAGUUUGAGGCAAAAACAGGUCUGUGAUGCCCUUAGAUGUUCUGGGCUACACGCGUGUUACACUGAUAUAUUCAACAAGCAUUAUAAUUCCUUACCCGAUGGGGUUGGGUAAUCUUUUAAAUGUAUAUCGUGAUGGGGAUAGACCAUUGUAAUUAUUGGUCUUGAACGAGGAAUUCCUAGUAAGUGCAAGUCAUUAGCUUGCGCUGAUUACGUCCCUGCCCUUUGUACACACCGCCCGUCGCUCCUACCGAUGAAUGGUCCGGUGAGGACUCAGGAUGACCGUGGAUUUUGGUAUAAUAUACCAUGCCAUUGUUUGUCAGAAUCUGUUCAAACCUUAUCAU
This 1273-nucleotide ribosomal RNA is filed under the name metagenome. RNAcentral's name for it is "SSU rRNA". It matches the Rfam family "Eukaryotic small subunit ribosomal RNA", at positions 491 to 1772 of the family's 1831-position model. The record is from RNAcentral.